AAGAAUUCGACCGCGUCAAGUAUUUUGGUAAGGAUCAUAAUCGUUAGACGAAACACAUAUACAGGCUGAAAAAAAUCGGCAUGUAUGUGUUGUAAAUACUAUAUCGCGAUGAGGGACGUGUGUUUAGUCAUUUUCUCUUCGAUCCGUGUAACAGCUUCGAGAUUAGCGAGUCAAAGAGAGAGCAGGGUCAUCGUGACGAUACGCGUUAUCAAGCUACUGCAAAUAGAAGAAACCGGCGAUCCGUAAAUAACACUGGGACAGUCAACUUCGAAUGGACUCGGAGGAGCAGUGGAGUUUUGAGAUGUUACUCUCGAGUGCUUGGUUCGAAGUAAUCGCUGCAGUUCUUUUGACGAUAUUGAUCUUCGUUACUAGCCAUCGGCCAGCAUGGUGGUUUUGGACAGCUACAUCUCACGAAGCUACCGCACCAGCCGAGGGCAAGUUCAGAACGGUAUCCAACAUUCCAGGGCCGUUUUCUUUACCGAUUUUUGGAACCAGAUGGAUAUUCUCUUGCAUCGGUUACUAUAAAUUGAACAAGAUUCACGAUGCUUACAAAGAUUUGAACCAACGAUAUGGCGCGUUGUGUAAAGAAGAAGCAUUAUGGAAUUUUCCAAUGAUCUCUGUCUUCUCCCGUCAGGAUAUCGAGACAAUCAUCCGCCGUAACUCCAGGUAUCCGCUUCGCCCCCCGCAAGAGGUGAUAUCUCAUUAUCGGCGGACACGCCGGGAUCGUUACACGAAUCUCGGUUUAGUCAACGAACAAGGACAAACGUGGCACGAUCUUCGGGUAGCUCUUACGUCGGAAUUGACGGCUGCCAGUACCGUACUUGGCUUUUUCCCGGCCCUGAAUAUCGUCGCGGAUUCGUUCAUCGAGUUGAUCCGGCGUCAAAGGGUCGGAUACAAAGUGACAGGUUUCGAAGAGCUUGCCUAUAAAAUGGGAUUGGAAAGUACAUGCACUUUGAUCCUGGGUCGACAUCUCGGUUUCUUGAAGCCAGACUCGAGUAGCGAGCUUGCGACGAGAUUGGCGGAAGCUGUCAGGAUACAUUUCACCGCCUCGCGGGAUGCCUUUUACGGAUUGCCGCUUUGGAAAUUGUUACCAACCUGUGCGUACAAACAGCUGAUAGAGAGCGAGGACGCUAUAUACAAUAUAAUUUCGGAGAUCAUCGAAACCACUAUACUGGAGAAACAAGACGAUGCCAAAGACGAGUCGGUCGAGGCCAUUUUUCAAUCCAUUCUCAGACAAAAGAAUCUCGAUAUACGCGACAAGAAAGCAGCCAUUGUCGAUUUCAUAGCGGCUGGCAUACACACGCUUGGAAACACUUUGGUAUUCCUGUUCCAUUUGAUCGGUCGUAAUCCGGCCGUCCAAGUCAAACUAUACGAAGAGACGCACGAGCUGGCACCGGCUGGUUGCGAUUUGACCAUCGACAAUUUACGGAGGGCCAAGUAUUUGCGCGCGUGCAUCACCGAAUCUCUACGAUUGAUCCCAACGACAACCUGCAUCGCACGCAUCUUGGACGAAUCCAUCGAACUUAGCGGUUAUCGUUUGACGGCGGGAGUUUGAACGAGGAGAAUUUCAAAGACGCGAAGAAAUAUUUGCCCGAGAGGUGGACGACACCUAGCGGCCCCCAUUCGCCGUUAUUAGUCGCACCUUUCGGCGCUGGAAGGAGAAUAUGUCCGGGCAAGCGAUUCGUCGAUCUCGCGUUGCAGCUUAUCUUGGCAAAGAUUAUACGGGAAUUCGAGAUCAUCGUGGAGGAAGAGCUCGAUUUGCAAUUUGAAUUUAUUCUCGCGC
RNAcentral lists this unclassified non-coding RNA (1783 nucleotides) under Apis dorsata (giant honeybee). RNAcentral's name for it is "ecdysone 20-monooxygenase, transcript variant X1". Lineage: Eukaryota; Metazoa; Arthropoda; Insecta; Hymenoptera; Apidae. The record is from RNAcentral.